CCUGAGAUCUGCGCAUGCAGCGCAGUCUGACGCAGCGACGCCGCGUGAAUGAUGAUGCCUUCGGGUUGUAACCUCUUUUAUUUGGGACGAUGUGACUGUACCCUACCCUUACUCUUGCCUGUCUGUGCAGAAGCGGCGGUAACAUCGGCGGGGCGGAUCAAA
Molecule: ribosomal RNA, 162 nt
Filed under: uncultured bacterium
Lineage: Bacteria
Description: partial 16S ribosomal RNA
Source: RNAcentral